RNAcentral lists this long non-coding RNA (222 nucleotides) under Coturnix japonica (Japanese quail). Its description in RNAcentral is "lncRNA (ENSCJPG00005000985.1)". The record is from RNAcentral. Lineage: Eukaryota; Metazoa; Chordata; Aves; Galliformes; Phasianidae.
CAGGGAGACAAAAGAUUUUGUUCCAGCAAAGAAUCAACCAUAAACUUCUACAGCAAACUGAAGUUUAAGACAAAAAUUGAGCCAAUAGACAGGAAGAGAAUAAAGUCAGACGGAUGAUGGAAAAAAAGUCAUGCUGAUGUUUGCCUCUGUGUAAAGUAUCAAGAGGUAAAGUAUCUUCCAUUGUAGGUAGAGCUGCGAAACAAGACAACAGUUCAGGAUCGA